RNAcentral lists this ribosomal RNA (818 nucleotides) under Phyllosticta capitalensis. RNAcentral describes it as "eukaryotic LSU rRNA". It matches the Rfam family "Eukaryotic large subunit ribosomal RNA", at positions 103 to 937 of the family's 3401-position model. Lineage: Eukaryota; Fungi; Ascomycota; Dothideomycetes; Botryosphaeriales; Phyllostictaceae. The record is from RNAcentral. RNAcentral also lists the same sequence under 1 other name.
AAUAGCUCAAAUUUGAAAGCUGGCGUCUUCGACGUCCGCGUUGUAAUUUGUAGAGGAUGCUUCGGCGAAGACUCCUGCCUAAGUCCCCUGGAACGGGGCGUCAUAGAGGGUGAGAAUCCCGUAUGUGGCGGGCAGUCUAAGCCAUGUGAAGCUCCUUCGACGAGUCGAGUUGUUUGGGAAUGCAGCUCUAAAUGGGAGGUAAAUUUCUUCUAAAGCUAAAUAUUGGCCAGAGACCGAUAGCGCACAAGUAGAGUGAUCGAAAGAUGAAAAGCACUUUGGAAAGAGAGUUAAAAAGUACGUGAAAUUGUUGAAAGGGAAGCGCUUGCAACCAGACUCGCUCGUAGUUGCUCAGCCGGCCUCUUGGCCGGUGUACUCUUCUACGAUCGGGCCAGCAUCAGUUCGGGCGGCAGGAUAAAGGUGUCGGGAAUGUAGCACCCUUCGGGGUGUGUUAUAGCCCGGCGCGGAAUGCUGCCAGCCUGGACUGAGGAUCUCGCUUCGGCAAGGAUGCUGGCGUAAUGGUUGUAAGCGGCCCGUCUUGAAACACGGACCAAGGAGUCUAACAUCUAUGCGAGUGUUUGGGUGUCAAACCCAUGCGCGUAAUGAAAGUGAACGGAGGUGGGAACCCCUCACGGGGUGCACCAUCGACCGAUCCUGAUGUCUUCGGAUGGAUUUGAGUAAGAGCAUAGCUGUUGGGACCCGAAAGAUGGUGAACUAUGCCUGAAUAGGGUGAAGCCAGAGGAAACUCUGGUGGAGGCUCGCAGCGGUUCUGACGUGCAAAUCGAUCGUCAAAUUUGGGUAUAGGGGCGAAAGACUAAUCG